AGAGUUUGAUCCUGGCUCAAAACGAACGCUGGCGGCGUGGAUAAGACAUGCAAGUCGAACGGAACAUUAUGAGUAGCAAUACAAGUAAUGUUUAGUGGCGAACGGGUGCGUAACACGUGGAUACAUUCCGGGAAGCGGGGGAUAGCCCAGGGAAACUUGGAUUAAUACCGCAUGUGAUCGAAAGAUCAAAGACGGGGACCGCAAGGCCUGUCACUUCCCGAUUGGUCCGCGGCCUAUCAGCUAGUUGGCGGGGUAAAAGCCCACCAAGGCGACGACGGGUAGCUGGUCUGAGAGGACGACCACCCACACUGGAACUGAGACACGGUCCAGACACCUACGGGUGGCAGCAGUCGAGAAUCUUUCACAAUGGGGGCAACCCUGAUGGAGCGACGCCGCGUGGAGGAUAAGGUCUUCGGAUUGUAAACUCCUGUCAUGUGUGAACAAGGUUGCGGGGCUAAUACCUUUGCAAAUUGAUGGUAACACAAGAGGAAGAGACGGCUAACUCUGUGCCAGCAGCCGCGGUAAUACAGAGGUCUCAAGCGUUGUUCGGAAUCACUGGGCGUAGAGGGUGCGUAGGUGGCGUGGUAAGUCAGAUGUGAAAGCCCGGGGCUCAACCUCGGAAUUGCAUCCGAUACUGCCAUGCUUGAGUACUGAAGAGGUGACUAUAAAUUCUAGGUGUAGCAGUGAAAUGCGUAUAUAUCUAGAGGAAUACCAAAGGCGAACGCAUGUCACUGGGCAGUUACUGACACUGACGCACGACGCCAGGAGGAGCGAACGAGUAUUAGACACCCCCGGUAGUCCUAGCAGUAAACGUGCACGUUUUUGUGUGAUUGGCCCCAAUCCGACCCGCGCCCGUGACAGGAGCUACGCGAUUAAACGUGCGGCCUGAGGUAAGUACCGUCGCAUGAAUCAACUCGAGAGUUGACAGGCACGUAAGCGGGAUAGAUAAUUAUGUGUGCCUUUAAUUCC
RNAcentral lists this ribosomal RNA (969 nucleotides) under uncultured bacterium. RNAcentral's name for it is "bacterial SSU rRNA". It matches the Rfam family "Bacterial small subunit ribosomal RNA", at positions 9 to 873 of the family's 1533-position model. The record is from RNAcentral.